AAUAUUAAUGUAAGAUUGUAAAAUAAACAGAGGAGUAUAAUUACCGAUGAAAUAGUUGUUUAGAGCAGUCAAAUAAGCGUCUUUUCCUAUUUUUCUUUCUAAACAAAACCCCAGACAAAACAACAGCCCAGAUCCUGCCUUACCCAAUAAUCACGAGAAAAUAUUAAUGUAUGCUUGUAAAAUAAAGAGUGGAGGAUAGUUAAAACGAAAAACACCGAUCUCUCAUAAAGCCCAUAGUACUUAAUGAUCAGUUCAAGCUUGUUUACGAAAGGGAACACACACACAUCCGCUAGACCCACGUAACGCAAUCGCUUUUAUUAGUUUCCAAGCACGGUAGAGGAAGCCAAACCAGUUAUCAUCCACGAACAUUAUCGGGAAGAAGAACAAUUACCCAGGAAGUUAAUAAGGAAGAAUGUUUAAUAAGAGUGCAAAGACGGGAACCUGCAAGGGGGUGGGGCCUGGAGCGGAAGUGGGCGUGGCCUCUCCGCUUGGGGUCUCGUCAGAGCGUUCCCGGCAACAGGUGGGGGAAUGCACGCCUGUUUUUUUUGCUUGCAUUUCCGAUACUCCGACAUUUUAUUUGAGUUUGUUUUUUUGUUUGUGUGUUGGUGUGUUGCAAAUGGUGGCUGCAGAAGAAGAAGGAGGAUGUGAUGGUUGGUCUUCUGAUAGAACAUUAUGGAGGAGGGAGAGAGAAACUGAGGCAGAAGAAGAGGAGGAGGAAAAGCAACACGGGAUAAGGAUAAGAAAUACACCUUACAUUGAAAUUAAUGAACUUAGACUUAGCCAGUGACUUCUCGACCGCCCCCGCAAUCACCACUAAGUAGUGUUCACCUUCCCCGCCGCCACCACCAUCACCACCGCCCCCGUCACUGCCCCCUCCGUCGCCAGGUAAGUCAACUAAUCAUACUAUCCAGGUGUCCGUGUGUGUAAUCAUCGUCUUUUAGUUUCUAUUAUAUUUUGUCUUUAUUUUUUUUGUUUUGUUUUGGUGUUCGUGUCUAUCUAUCAUUUACCUGGACGUGUUUUCUUUUUUCUUUAUUUUGUUUUUUGUUGUUGUCGUUUAUCGCCGUCUAUCAUAUCUGUAUCAUGGUUUUUUUUUCCUUUUGC
Eriocheir sinensis (Chinese mitten crab) is the source of this 1101-nucleotide long non-coding RNA. RefSeq lists it as uncharacterized. The transcript is spliced from 3 exons. NCBI's taxonomy places the organism in Eukaryota, Metazoa, Arthropoda, Malacostraca, Decapoda, Varunidae. The record is from RefSeq and is a predicted model, not a curated record.